RNAcentral lists this ribosomal RNA (1122 nucleotides) under uncultured archaeon. RNAcentral's name for it is "bacterial SSU rRNA". It matches the Rfam family "Archaeal small subunit ribosomal RNA", at positions 325 to 1450 of the family's 1478-position model. The record is from RNAcentral.
ACGGGGCGCAGCAGGCGCGAAACCUCCACAAUGUGGGAAACCACGAUGGGGGAACUCCAAGUGCCUACGCUUUAGUGUAGGCUGUUCUCGAGCCUAAAAAGCUCGAGAAGUAAGGGCCGGGUAAGACGGGUGCCAGCCGCCGCGGUAAUACCCGCGGCCCGAGUGGUGCUCAUUAUUAUUGAGCCUAAAGCGUCCGUAGCUGGCCGGGCAAGUCUCCGGGUAAAUCGGGCCGCUCAACUGUCCGAAUUCCGGAGACACUGCUCGGCUUGGGAUCGGGAGAGGGUGAAGGUACUCCCUGGGUAGGGGUAAAAUCCUGUAAUCCGGGGGGGACCACCAGUGGCGAAGGCGUUCACCUAGAACGAAUCCGACAGUGAGGGACGAAGCCCUAGGGCGCAAACGGGAUUAGAUACCCCGGUAGUCUAGGGUGUAAACGCUGCAGACUUGGUGUUGGGGGUCCUGCGUGGGCUGCCAGUGCCGGAGCGAAGGUGUUAAGUCUGCCGCUUGGGGAGUACGGUCGCAAGACUGAAACUUAAAGGAAUUGGCGGGAGAGCACCGCAACGGGAGGAGCGUGCGGUUCAAUUGGAUUCAACGCCGGAAAACUCACCGGGGGCGACGGAGGGAUGAAAGCCAGGCUGAAGACCUUGCCCGAUUCUCCGAGAGGUGGUGCAUGGCCGUCGUCAGUUCGUACCGUAAGGCGUUCUGUUAAGUCAGAUAACGAACGAGACCCUCGCCUUCAGUCGCCACUUCACGAGCGAUCGUGAGGGCACACUAGAGGGAUCGCUGCCGCUAAGGCAGAGGAAGGAGAGGUCUACGGUAGGUCCGUAUGCCCCGAAUCUCCCGGGCAACACGCGCGCUACAAAGGUGGGGACAAUGGGAUCCGACCCCGAAAGGGGAAGGCAAUCCUGAAACCCCAUCGUAGUCUGGAUCGAGGGCUGUAACUCGCCCUCGUGAAAAUGGAUUCCGUAGUAAUCGCGGGUCAACAUCCCGCGGUGAAUGUGCCCCUGCUCUUUGCACACACCGCCCGUCAAACCAUCCGAGUUGGUGUUGGAUGAGGUUUAAUUCGAGAGGGUUAAAUCAAAUCUGAUGUCGGUGAGGAGGGUUAAGUCGUAACAAGGUAGCCGU